Molecule: long non-coding RNA, 818 nt
Filed under: Manihot esculenta (cassava)
Lineage: Eukaryota; Viridiplantae; Streptophyta; Magnoliopsida; Malpighiales; Euphorbiaceae
Description: long non-coding RNA (MESC_LNC010938)
Source: RNAcentral
UUUGGAUGGACAAUCCAGGACCUAACAAUUGGAAUCGAAUUGAACAGAAACGAAUUGAAGACAAUGAACCCUAACGAAAUUCGAAACUAAGAUACCAAAAAAACGAAAAUAUAACACAGCCCUAGAAAGACAGAUAGAUAAAGAUUUACCUGUUGUUGGCUCUGAUACCAAAUGACGCGGAACCGUAUGGCACUUAAUCCUCAAACCCCGUCGCACCUCUGAUAUAGAUUCCAAGAACGUGGAUAAACCACCCUCUAUAGCACCCUAAGCUUAGCGAAGCUAGAACACUAAUAACGGAAGGAUUUUGUAGAACGGAUCAGAAGAACGCCACAAUCGAAAUUGAUAAGUUGGUCUGAUUCGUGAUGCAAUCAAUGAAAGAAGCAAACUCUCACUCUCUCAAAGAAGGCCGAAAUUUGCAUAAAGCAAAUCUGAAUUAAAUUUGUCAAAAAAACAAAAAAAGUGUCUGAUAUAAGAAUUUAAGGCCUUAUUUAUAGUGUAAGGCAAAAACCUAAACCUAGUUGGAAAAGGAAAACAAAUACUAAGUCAGAAUUCCUAUCCCAACAGGGAAACAAGCUAAAAUAACAAAAAUAACUGCCAAGUCUUUAAAAACCAACCACAUUCUCGUAUGCCUCAAUAGUUCCAGCAGAAACCACAACCUCAGGGACGAAACCACAACCUGCUUAUGGUUCGGGCUGAUUCUCCACUAUCUUCCUCCAUGAUGUGCUCCAAAAUUAACUUCCACAAAACACAAAAGUAUCUUCGGCUAACUGAAUGUCGCGAGCGCGACUUUGAUAAUGGUAGCGAGCGCUACAAAUCUU